Molecule: RNase MRP RNA, 220 nt
Filed under: Gonyaulax spinifera
Lineage: Eukaryota; Dinophyceae; Gonyaulacales; Gonyaulacaceae
Description: partial RNase MRP
Rfam family: RNase MRP
About the family: RNase MRP is an enzymatically active ribonucleoprotein with two distinct roles in eukaryotes. In mitochondria it plays a direct role in the initiation of mitochondrial DNA replication.
Source: RNAcentral
UUCGCAGUGCACGCACAGGGAGCUUGCUCCCGACCAUGCUGCGAGGAAAGUCCCCGUGCCUCAGGGCAGAGAGUGCCAGCAGGAAACUGCGAAGCCAUGGUCAGUCGUCACGGAGAUGCCUCUGGCAUAGUUCCAGCGCCUGAUCGUGGUUGUUUGCAGCAGCACAGCAAUGUCGUGAACGUCCGGCCUAGGACGCCAACUGAACGGGGCUCACUCUCCU